GAAACUCUGCAUGAAACUAAUUCAACUGUUUUUAUUUCACUACUUGACAUGCACAUUUCACCAACACUUUCUCCUUCUGGCUUACUGAAGAAUAGGAAGGACUGAAGGGAAUCAAUUCUGUUUCAGACAGGAAGCGUAUCCUCUUUGGGUUCAAUUGUAGAAGCAACACACUGUUUACUUGAUUAGCAUCUCUCUCAACCUUCACUUAUGGUGGGUCCCCUGGAAUCCAGUGCCCAUGGACACACAAACACUGUGUUUUAAUUGGGAGGUCAACCUGGCUGGUCUGAUAUGCCCUGUGUGCUGUGGUUCUUUGAUUAUGGGAAACAGGAAGAAAUACAUGGGCAGAGGGCCUAGAAACAUGGCGGCAGUGAGAAAUCUAAACUUCAGAGUUGUCUCUGCCUUGCUGCUUUCUUGGAUAAAUUUUUCCAUCCUUUGUUCCUUUCGCACUGUAUAGAGAAGGCUUUUGUGAAGUCUUGAUUAAUCUGAAACUACAGUGUGCGACAGCUCACAGGUAAGGAGGCUCAGACCCAGGAAGAAGGAAUGGUUUGCCCACGAUUGCCCAACUAGUUGGAAUCAGAAACCAGCUUUUGAUCCAGGUCUAAAGUAUUAAUCAUGACUCUCUGAAUGGUGGGAACCAGAAAACAGACUAACUUGGAAAAUUGUUGGUCAUGCGUUUGAGAGGUGGGUGGAUCGCAGUCAUGGCUUGAUCUAAGCGUCCCAGCUGUUUUAGUUUCAUUCAUUCUCCAACUCCAGAAGCAGCUUCUCUCUUUGGUGGAUUCGGUUCCUCUGACUAGUGAAGAUGUUCAUAAGUAGCCAUAGGAUGAAGUGUUCCUGGCUUACUGACUUAAAGAAAACAUGAAAAGAGAGUCAUUUCUAUUAUUUGAACAGCACUCAGAAUCCUGAUUGCCUCUUCUUGGCUCAUGUGGACACUACCAUGACAGUCACCAACUCCCAAAACGUGGGGGAUCGUGACUGGCCAGACAUGGCUCACAUAUCCAUUGUCUUUGGUCAGAGAAGCCCACCUGCUACCAAAAUAAGGGCAAUACUAGGGAAAUAGUCUGGACAGACAAAAACAAUGACUUCAUAGCCCACUACAUUACAAAAACAAUCUUAAAGAAUUUAAACUGGCUCAUAAUUAAAAGAAAACAGAAUUGAAACCCAAUUUUAUAUUUUUGGAAUAUUGAAGAAAGUUGGAGAUAUUGAUUAGGAUAUUGUUUGCUCUAUUAGAGUUUAUUGCAAACAAUGAAUAAUUGUUAUCAGCAUAGUUCACUCUCCUUUUUCCAUAACCUUCCCUUUUUUCCAUGGGAAGGUUCCCCCCGCCCCCACCAUGAUCUAAACCUAUCCACUAAUAAUUAGCAACCCCUACCUUUACAUUCUCUCUUUCUCUCUCUUAUUUUUAACUGUAAAACUCCAGGUAGACAUCAGAGAAAAUUCUUAUGAAAAAAGCAUUUAGGAAUUCUUGUUCAUAUUUUUUGCUCAUAAUAUGUUCAUAAUUGUUCAAUAUUGCUCAUAAAUUAUUGUUCAUAAUAUUGUUCAUAUUAUUUUGAUUCUUUGAUACCUCUUAUGCCUAUUACAUUGUAAUGAAUACUAAUGAGUUAACGAAGGGUGAAUAAUUUAAUUAGGACAUUGCUACAUGCAGAGAAAGUGCUAUAAGGUUUUGUUUUUAGAUAAAUUAAAGCUUUUUGAAAGUUUACCCCUCUGAAUAUAAUUAUUUCUGUCCCUGUGCAUUAUCAAAUUCAUUCACUGUAAUUCAGUGUGCUAAGACUCAUACAACACACAUAUUCAUUCAACACUCAGAAAGUUCUUUCUAGAAUGAAUUAGCUAAUAAGUGACUAUUUAUAAACACAAGCACACACAUUUAUAAACCACCUGACCUCAAGGCAAAGGGGAUUAACAACACUCAACCACUUCUAGACUUUACUGAUCUGUAAUUCCACCGCUGUGAAGUAGAUGUUAUUCCUAUUUAAAUGAUUAUGUAAUUAGACUAGUAUAAUAUUAAGAGUAGCAGUUUUGUCAGAUCCUGUGGGUUUUAGUUCCAGCUUUGCUUCUUACAGUUUACUUGCCUUUGCUAAGUCUUAGUUUCCUCACUGGAAAAAUAGUGAGAAAAAAUAGGAUCUAAACAAGCUUGGCAAAUAACACUUGGGUUUGUCUCAUUCAAGAUUUUUUGAGGAAAAUAAAGUUAGUAAAUGAUUCCUGUGUUAAAAAUCAAGUGAAACAUAGAUACAUUAUGGCUUCCCAGUCCUCUUUUACCCCAGUUCCUCCCAUUAAGUUGGAUGUUGUAGCCAGAUUUAGACUUUCAAUUCCUUGAGUUCUUUAUUUCUAGUUAUUUUCCCUCUUAUUUCAUCAUGGUCAUCCCACACCACAGAAAUUCUCUGAGCCUGGGCAAAUUUUGAAUUCCUCUACCGCUGAAAGGCUACCUAAUAAUAUUUCAUUGUCACUGCCAUCUCUUACUUUCCUAACACACAUUGAGAACUCCGGGUCUAGAAAUCACUUCUCUCUCCCUAUUAGCUUCCUUGCCUACUGCCAAUGCUUUAGGCUUAUUUUCUCUGAGAGUAGACACUGUCAAUAUACCCACUUCUCUUUUCCUAUUAUCUGUUAGUCUCUGUGACCUUCAGUCUUUCUCCAUCUCCCCAAACUCUAUAGUCCAGCAGAACUAAAAGGACUGGAAGUUCCCUAAAUGUGUCCUGCUGUUACUAGUUUUUGUUCCUUUGCUCGUACCACUCUCUACUUGAAAUACCUGUCAUACAAAGAUACAUUUAAUUUUAAAGUCUUUCUGGGAAAAAAAUCUCUGUAAAGAUUUUCGUGAUCACCCAUCCUAGGUUAAAUCUAUUACUCACCCAUUUGGUGCCCCACAGUGUUCUGUAUCCAUACAGGAAGACACAUGUUCUACUCAUUUACACUUUUGAUUUUUAUAUCCACCUUCCAUGGCUGCUUAAUUUCUGUAUGCUCAGCAUUGGUGUAGUGCCUCACAUGUAGUACACUAUUAAUAACUAUUUAUUGGAUGAAUUUAUUAAAUGAAUUAAGCAAGGGGAAAUACUGUCUCCCUGGAAAAAUUAAAGCUUUUAUUUUUCUAGUAUUAAGGCACAUACAACUCUCCCUGCCUUUCUCUGCAGCUUUUAAGAAGUACAGAGUCAAGUGUGUGAACAAAAAUUAUUAGCUAUGUUAACCCUCAUUUUUGGUGUAUUUGAAUACUUUCUUUUACUUUAUGUAGAGUUUCACAUGAGUAACUUCAGAUUAUGUGAUUUAAAAAAGUAAUGUAUGUGUGUGUGUGCCUCUGUGUGUAGAAAGGUGGAUAGAUAAAUAAUUUCAACAAGUUAUAUUUCAGAAAAUAACUGUAUUUUUCUUGACAUAUUUUGAGACUUAUAUGUGUACCAGAUUAACAGAGUUUUUCAACUUGCUGUAAAAUAAAUAAGAUGAAUGUUUUGCAUGAAGAAAAUCAUAUUCCAGCACCAAGAGUAAAUCUCCCCUUUUUGA
Odocoileus virginianus texanus is the source of this 3474-nucleotide non-coding RNA. The record is from RefSeq and is a predicted model, not a curated record. Lineage: Eukaryota; Metazoa; Chordata; Mammalia; Artiodactyla; Cervidae.